This 1468-nucleotide long non-coding RNA is filed under the name Homo sapiens (human). RNAcentral's name for it is "HSALNT0395864". The record is from RNAcentral. Lineage: Eukaryota; Metazoa; Chordata; Mammalia; Primates; Hominidae.
GGCGUGAGCCACCGUGCCCAGCCCAAUCCAGGCAGUUUGAUCCAGUCUGCAAGUUGAACCCCUACCAUCCACCCCUCUAACAGUUUGGUAUUCAGAGACAAUGUGGCAAUUGUAAUGUAUCUCUAUCAUUUUCCCAGGGAAGGAUGCCAAGACACAGACAGGAGUUUGUGGCGGUCACCCAGUGAAUCAUCCCCAGCUAGGGCUGGAACUGAAGCCUCAGGCUUGGGGAGGGGUCAGUUCAGAAACCUUGAGGGUCUUCUCUGACGCCUGCUUGGCUCCCUUGUGUAUGUUUUGGAGAAUUUUUUUGUAGGGAGGCAAGUGAGGGAGGAGGGCAGAACUUAAAUGCUGCAACAUUCAAGGGCUCAAACGGUGGUUGCCUCCCACUAGGGAGGGCAGGGGGCCGCCAGAGAGAGCCUUGAUUAUGUCCUGCACCUUAAUGGGUCCUUCCUAAGAGAGUGGCUUUGGUUUCCAUGACAACAAGCCGGCAGCAUCAGAGCAAGAUAGUGGAGUCUCCUCCCCCGACCCACAUCUGGUUCUGGAAUCUCUACCCCUCUAUCCCAGUCAUUCCAAAUCGCAGGAAUCCAGCUGUGGCUCAGCCCAAGACCAGAGGGGGCAGCCACGCAGUGGACAGCGCUCCUUCUCUGUGGCCUAGCAGGCAGGAGGACCCCUGGCCCUGCCCCACGCUGAUCCAAUUCUCUCCCCUUGAAAGUGGGCUAGACUUGGCAAAUACGAUGUGGCAGAAGUGACACUAUGACUUCUGAGGCUGCGUGAUAAGAGGUGAUACGAUACAGCUUAUGCCUGGUUCUCUCUCUGGAUGCUUGCUCCUGGGACCCAGCAGCCAUCUUGUGAGGAAGCUCAAGCUACAUGGAGGUGUUCCUGCCGGCAGUCCCAGUUGAGGUCCUUCAAGAUGACUCCAACCCCAGCCUCCUUCUGACUUGAACCACAUACGAACUGCCCCCAGUGAGAACUGUCUAGCAGAGUCCACUCUCAGAACCAUGACAAAUUCUGGGCUCUUGAGAACAACAUCUGCUUGUUUACUGCUAUAUAACCAGGAUCCAGCACACAGCCCAGCACAUAGCAGGUGCUAAGAAUAUAAAUAAAUGUGGCUGAAUGUUUAAAUGAAUGAAGAAAUGAAACAAAGAUACAUACUAAUGCCUUCAGGCUGUGCUACAUUAUAUAAAUCUAUCUAGUCCCUUCAGGGAGUGGGAGACACACUGAGACUGUUUCUUAGAAACUAAACCAUGGCAUAUUUUCCCAAUGAACAGACAAUUCCCCGGAGAGGAAACAGACAUCGUAAACAAACUCUUGGGGAACUGUGUGAUUUGGUUAGUAAUUAUAGACAGGCAAAUUAAAGCUACCAGCUAGCACGUGGCACAAUCCCAGUUACUAUUACUGCACCACAGAUGACCCCAAAAUGUUCAGGCUUAAAACAAUCAUCAUGGCUGGGCGGAGUGGCUCACGCCUGUAA